CGUCUGGAAGUGCGUGUGUGGAGUCUUGAAAUCUUAUCGUUGAUGGCUGAUAACAGGAAGCUUCAGUCAUUUCUACUGGAUUCAUCCUACUGGACAGCUGGCAUCUAAACUGAAGCUGUACCUGCUUGGACAGCCAAAGAGUGAUCCUGGACUGACUGCAGGAAGAUCAUUGAUACCUAUGGAGGUUGGGGAUCCCAUGGUGGAGGUGCAUUCUGUGGAAAAGAUCCCUUCAAAGUUGAUUAUUCUGCAGCACAUGCAGCUCAGUGGAUUGCAAAAUCUUCAGUGAAAGCUGAUAUCUGUGAAAGAGUAUUAAUCCAGCUCAUUGCCAUCAGAGUGGUGGUUCCCAGACACUUUCCUUGAUUUGGUGUGUUCAAAUAUGCUGCAUUUUUAAAAUACAUUAUCAUAGCCCUGGAAGUGGUGAAGGCAGUAAGAAGGGAAGAAAGCAGGCAAAAACAUGAGCAUAGUUUAAGAGCUGGAUUUGAAGAGGCCAAUCUAUCAAAACCCAGCAUGCUAUGGGCACUUUGGGAGAGAAGAAUAUACAUGGGAAAUACCCCAAAAGCUUCUGUAUUAAGUUUUUCAGAAUGUUUCAUGUAAUUGAUAGAUGAUUUAAUAAUCAGGUAAAAUUUCAAGCUGUUCAGGAAAAGACUGUAUUCUUUUUUAAAAUGACAUUCAGUAGUUAAUAGUUACUGAAAAUUGUUUGUAUUUAACUUCUAACUUUCACAGUGGCCUUACACUUUGAAUGCAUGAUGCUCUAUCUAACAUACUCUUCAGCUUUGUCUUUGAUAACAUGGGAGCAAUUAAGUCCUUUGGCUGUGACCAGAUAUCAAGUGCACACAUGGUUGUGGAAGUUGAAAUCAUUCCUGUUCUGCCAGAGAAGUCCACUACUGCUUACUCAGUUAACUUUGUACUGAAAUGGAUGAAGUUGGUAACUUCCAACAGCUCCCUGUGAGAGGAAAGCAGUAAUAGCAUAAAUUGCCAUAAUUCUUUGGGCCAGGACUUCCACAACUACAGCAUUAGUUAUGGUACUUCCAGUCCAAGCAAUUAGUAAAAAUACCCAUUUUGGAACAUUGUUCAUUGUAUCUCUAAAUAUACUUUGCAGUGCGGUAGUGUUGUUUGCUUUUUAUAUUAAAGUUUUGUAGGCAUAUCUGUGAAAACUGA
Molecule: long non-coding RNA, 1158 nt
Organism: Athene cunicularia (burrowing owl)
Lineage: Eukaryota; Metazoa; Chordata; Aves; Strigiformes; Strigidae
Exons: 5
Source: RefSeq, a predicted model, not a curated record